RNAcentral lists this ribosomal RNA (572 nucleotides) under uncultured Glomeromycotina. RNAcentral describes it as "SSU rRNA". It matches the Rfam family "Eukaryotic small subunit ribosomal RNA", at positions 548 to 1114 of the family's 1831-position model. Lineage: Eukaryota; Fungi; Glomeromycota. The record is from RNAcentral.
UUGGAGGGCAAGUCUGGUGCCAGCAGCCGCGGUAAUUCCAGCUCCAAUAGCGUAUAUUAAAGUUGUUGCAGUUAAAAAGCUCGUAGUUGAAUUUCGGGAUUGACGAGAUGGUCAUGCCUUAAGGGGUAUGAACUGUUACUGUUGAUUUCUCACCUUCUGGAGAAACUUGAUGUCCUUUAUUGGGUGUCUUGCGGAUCCAGGACCUUUACCCCGAAAAAAUUAGAGUGUUUAAAGCAGGCAUUUUUGCUCGAAUACAUUAGCAUGGAAUAAUAGAAUAGGACGGCAUGGUUCUAUUUUGUUGGUUUCUAGGAUCACCGUAAUGAUUAAUAGGGAUAGUUGGGGGCAUUAGUAUUCAAUUGUCAGAGGUGAAAUUCUUGGAUUUAUUGAAGACUAACUACUGCGAAAGCAUUUGCCAAGGAUGUUUUCAUUAAUCAAGAACGAAAGUUAGGGGAUCGAAGACGAUCAGAUACCGUCGUAGUCUUAACCAUAAACUAUGCCGACUACGAAUCAGACGAUGUUAAUUUUUUAAUGACUCGUUUGGCACCUUACGGGAAACCAAAGUGUUUGGGUUC